UUGCACGCUGGCGGCAGGCCUCACACCUGCCAGUCGAGCGGAUGAAGGGAGCUUGCUCCUGGAUUCAGCGGCGGACGGGUGAGUAAUGCCUAGGAAUCUGCCUGGUAGUGGGGGAUAACGUCCGGAAACGGGCGCUAAUACCGCAUACGUCCUGAGGGAGAAAGUGGGGGAUCUUCGGACCUCACGCUAUCAGAUGAGCCUAGGUCGGAUUAGCUAGUUGGUGGGGUAAAGGCCUACCAAGGCGACGAUCCGUAACUGGUCUGAGAGGAUGAUCAGUCACACUGGAAAUGGGAACACGUCCCAAAUCCUAAGGGGAGGCAGAGGUGGGGAUAUUGGGCCAUGGGCGGAAGCCUGGUCCCGGCCAGCCGCGGGUGGGAAAAAAGGUCUCGGAUUGUAAAGCACUUUAAGUUGGGAGGAAGGGCAGUAAGUUAAUACCUUGCUGUUUUGACGUUACCAACAGAAUAAGCACCGGCUAACUUCGUG
RNAcentral lists this ribosomal RNA (483 nucleotides) under uncultured bacterium. RNAcentral describes it as "partial 16S ribosomal RNA". It matches the Rfam family "Bacterial small subunit ribosomal RNA", at positions 30 to 507 of the family's 1533-position model. The record is from RNAcentral.